GGGCAGAGAGGGAGCGGGAUGAGGGGGUGGGGGCCCACAGUCACCGCGAGCCUCCCCCCCCCCUCAAAGAUGAGGAGCUGUGAGGUUUCUGCAGGGGCGUUCAAAAGAACUACAGACACCAGGGAGAGUGGUGGGUACUGGGCACCCCUUUCACCUAUAAGGCUCCUAGAAAGUUUCUUAUGUAUGUUUGGUAAUCAUGAAUUUAAGAGCGGACAGGCUGAUCACACUAACAGUAAACUUUUUCACAUUAAAUAUACUUUUAUUUAUCCUAUUGCGAUAUGGCAGCAACGGCCAAACAACUUACACAUAUAAGAAAUCAAUACAAUCUAGUCCAGAAAUUAAUGUGUAAUACAUGGCAGUCAUUAGUAACACUAAUUAUUAGCAAAAAAAAAUUCUGUCUAGUGGAUGACAACUUCAAGAUGUUUCCUAUGCAGAGAAGCUGAUCACAUGUGUUGGUCGUCCAUUUCGUCCACAUAAACUCUUCUCAAGUUCUGAAGGUUCUGUCGCCUCUUCCACGCUCUUUAGUCAGUUCUUUACAUAAAUUUGCAUUUGGGUUCCGAAUGCAAAGUCCGUUGACUGACCGGGUCAGCCGCCUAAUGGGUUUCUUUUUGCUCCCUGAAACCAGCUCAGAGUUUCCAUGUCUGUGUGUUUGGCAUCAAUCUCUUGCUGAAAAAUCCAAUUCGGUUCCAUCUUCAGAUUAUUAUCAAGAAUGAUGCUGUAAUCCAUAAAUCCUUCCAUUAGUUACCUGACUGAAGACUGCAAUAAUUAGGACUGGAUUUGUGUGUAUGUCACUGAUUUUAAAUUUGUAUUCAUUUCUGGACAUAAUCUGGAUGUUUGCCUUCUUUUGCUCCUUGAGUCCUUGUUGUUGUUAGCUAUAAAUUGAUUUGAAUAAAAAUACUAACCAAGCGUUUUUAGGAUGAUGCGCAAUACCUUUCCACCUCAAAACAUUGAGUAUGAAGUCCACCCAUCCGUUCACCGUCUAUAUCCGCUUACCCUUGCAGGGAAGCGUGAUGGCUGGUGCCAAUCUCAAAAAAUCAACUCCAUUUCUGACAUUCCCCCUUCAUUGCAUCAUCCCAACAAUGCUUCUCCAAGAUGUCCAUUGUUCCACCAGGUGUUUGCUAAUUGCUGCUGCUGCUGCUAGUCUGGUGGAGCUUGGCUGGAGGCUGAAGCUUAAAGGCGGAGCUUUGCGUAAAUAGGUGGUGCAUUGUAUGACCAGCCGUUAAGGCGUCAGAUUCAAGGAUUUCUCAAACAUGCAUGAAUGAGUCAAAGCAACACUCCGUGUUUAGUGACAUUAUAACAUGAUGUGGAACUCAGAAAAGUAAAAUUUAUACAAUACUCCCCAAUUUAAGAGAUCACAAAAGUGGUUAAAGAGGUUCAGCCAAAUGCGGAGAGCGAGUCAGUGUGUUAUCGUCGACAUCAGUGUGGACUCCGGCCGAGGAGAGUCCAGUUUGUGAUUAUUGUUCAGAGGGGAAAUAAAAUGCACACUUUAACAGCCGUGGUUCAUUUCUGCCAGACCUCAAGCCAUGCCUUCUUCCAAUAAAGUUUGCUAAGUCAGCAAACACUGGCGGUAGAUAAUGACCGCUUUAUGAGCAUGGAAAAAAGCACCCACCAUGUAAUAGAGUUAUUUCAUUCAGUCUGUACAUGUUAGUUCAUAAAGUGAACAAACAGCGGACAUAAUCGUUAAGAAAACUGGCCUCUGGUUUUAUAAUGCACGCAUGAUGUAACUGAGCCUCGGGCACAUUAAAUAGUAUUUUUUUCUGUUUUAGGUUUGUUCCUCCCUUAUUAAAAUUGUUUGUGGAAGAAAUUAUGGAAUGAUAUACAGAGGUUUAUGUCUUGUCAACUUAACUUUUGACCAAAAGUUCUCAAAACUCUUCUAAAUUUGCACUAAAACUUUUGUUAAAAUUUUGAAUCUGACCUUGGCACCAACCAAUUCAUGUGAAUUCUCUUCACACUAGAUGAAUAAUUGGACAAGGCCCACAGCAUGUUCCUUUUAUUCUACUUCAUUAUUAUGAUUUAAAGCUUAACAACCAAUAUUGGAAAACCAAUUCAAGCAGCUAAGUCUUAAAGAGGCAUUCACAAUAUAAGCUCAAACAUUUCUAAAGAUAUUGGUCUAAAAUACCCGUUAAAGCCAUCACACAUUAAACCUACAUAGCUACCAUGGGUCCAUGUAGCCUAGCUUAACUCCAUUUGGGUCCCACAUGUAUGUUUCAGGCUAGGAAAAAAGUCAAAGGAAUUUACAUAUUAGUGUCAUUCAACCCAACACUUAUGUGUCUUAACAAGGUUUAUACACAACAUAUUUCCGUCAUUUCAGCAUAAGAGCCACAGAUUUUCAGCCAGGUCAAAGUCUGGUCUAUUCCAGAAGUCUGUCCUGUUGAAACAUCCAACCAUGUCCCAGUUUCCAUCCAGCUCUUGAUUUGAGGUUCAGUCCCCCUUUGUGUACUGCACCAGUAACCAUGGUAGCGCGCCAUCAAACUAACAUGGUCAACAGCUGGUUUAGAUUUCUAUCUUUGAAGGCACCCAUUGUGGAGCAGUGCCUCGUUUCUUAGUCAGCACAUUCAGUUCUUAGUGAUAUAAAACUGUAUUUUUUUUUUUUUUUUGGUCACAGAACACUGAGAAUCACAGUGAGAGAUUCUCAGAGACCAAAAGUUCACAGAGUAUCUCUGGUGUUAGACCAUUUCUCAUCGAGCUGUAAACCGAUUCUAAUGUACCCUGAAGGUCACGGUAGGAAUACAGCAACAGUGACAUCAUCUGCAAAAAGAGACCCUGGUUUUCUUUAACCCGACACUCUUCAUUAUGCCUUUAGAACCUCUCCAUGCUCACCACAAACACGACUGGAGACAAGGAGCAGUUCUGGCGGAGUCCAACCCACAGUAGCAAGAAGAUCAACUUUGUGUUGAGAAUGUUGUUUUGGUGAUGUAUGGACUGGAAAUCCCUUAAGUGUCCAAACACUCCAACAGCAACCCAAAUAAAAUCCCUGGAGAAACCUAGUAGGAAGCCUUCUUGAGAUAUAUAUUAAAGUUGUUAUUUUUUCCCCAAACUAUGAACAAAAAUGUUCUCUAAAACAAAAUACGCUCCAAAACAACGGCGCAUUGUGAGAACUGGUAAUCACAUAAUCACUGAAGGAUUGUAAAAUAUUUAUAGGAAAGCUGUAACUAUUGGGAAAAGCUGCAGGAUCAUUUCUAGGGCCAAAAUAUGUGAAGCAGAAAACGGUUUACUGUGUGCAUGAAGACAGGACUCCAAAAACUCCCAAGCCUCAAAAUGCUUAAAACAACAUGCUAUAAUUACUUCUACUUUUUCUUGUUUGAAAAUUAUUUCAAUGUUCAAGAAGUAAAAGAAAAACAAAUGUAGCAAAACCCAUAGCAGCAGCUUUUGUAUCCCUUCUUAAAAAACAGCUUUGUCUGUUUUAAAUGCUAGCCAGGACAAAUGUAAAUCUUCUCCCCCGCAUGAUAGUAAAACACCAGAGACAAAAUGAUAUGACAAGAGUUGUUUUUACUGAAUACCAAAAGUUUAUUUUAAAAAAAAGAAAUAAAUCAAAGUAAAAAAAAAAAAAGAAAGAAAGAAAAAGAAAAAAAGGGCCAUUUUUGAGGCUGACUGAUGGUAAUAAAGUUCAUCCUGAGGUUGUUCUGAGGCGAGACGAAG
This is a long non-coding RNA of Poecilia reticulata (guppy), 3639 nucleotides long. RefSeq lists it as uncharacterized. Lineage: Eukaryota; Metazoa; Chordata; Actinopteri; Cyprinodontiformes; Poeciliidae. The record is from RefSeq and is a predicted model, not a curated record.